This 226-nucleotide ribosomal RNA is filed under the name Prasinoderma coloniale. RNAcentral's name for it is "partial Eukaryotic large subunit ribosomal RNA". It matches the Rfam family "Eukaryotic large subunit ribosomal RNA", at positions 3120 to 3351 of the family's 3401-position model. Lineage: Eukaryota; Viridiplantae; Prasinodermophyta; Prasinodermophyceae; Prasinodermales; Prasinodermaceae. The record is from RNAcentral.
CUGAACGCCUCUAAGCCAGAAUCCGUGCUAGAAACGAUGAUGUUAGUCCCGCAAAUCUUAGUCGAGUAAAGAUAGAGCUUCGGCUCGUAAACCAUAGUUGACUGGUCUCGUUCAGUCAGGCGGAAAGGCCUGGCUGUUCUACCGGUGAAUAGCAUUCGAAAUAUUUGCGGGGGUGAAUCCUUUGCAGACGACUUGAAUAGAACGGAGUGCUGUACGCAGUAGAGUA